UGAAAAUGUGAAACAAUCCACCAUUGCAUUGUCAAGCUAUUUCUGUACCAAGCUCAGGUCAUCUACCCAUAAAACCAUCACAACAGCAAAUGGAGCUGAAAAAAAGGUUCCCAGAAAUGACAGGGAACUUUGGGAGUGUGCAAAAUCAUUCACUAGGAAAGUCGCCAUCUGGAAUAAGAACAUAGUUCUAAUACCUGUCAACAAAGGGUAAUGUUGUAAACAAUUAUUGUUCAUCAAUAUAGAAUGAAAUUGUAUUUUGUGUAUAUUACAUGCAUGCAAAAUA
This is a long non-coding RNA of Xenia sp. Carnegie-2017, 283 nucleotides long. RefSeq lists it as uncharacterized. The record is from RefSeq and is a predicted model, not a curated record. Lineage: Eukaryota; Metazoa; Cnidaria; Anthozoa; Malacalcyonacea; Xeniidae. The transcript is spliced from 2 exons.